AGAGCGAACGCUGGCGGCAGGCCUAACACAUGCAAGUCGAGCGCCCGUAGCAAUACGGGAGCGGCAGACGGGAUAGUAACACGUGGGAACGCGCCCUUCGGUUCGGAAUAACUCAGGGAAACUUGAGCUAAUACCGGAUACGCCCUUACGGGGAAAGAUUUAUUGCCGAAGGAACGGCCCGCGUCCGAUUAGCUAGUUGGUGAGGUAAUGGCUCACCAAGGCGACGAUCGGUAGCUGGUCUGAGAGGAUGACCAGCAUCACUGGGACUGAGACACGGCCCAGACUCCUACGGGAGGCAGCAGUGGGGAAUAUUGGACAAUGGGCGCAAGCCUGAUCCAGCCAUGCCGCGUGAGUGAUGAAGGCCCUAGGGUUGUAAAGCUCUUUCGACGGGGACGAUAAUGACGGUACCCGUAGAAGAAGCCCCGGCUAACUUCGUGCCAGCAGCCGC
Molecule: ribosomal RNA, 448 nt
Filed under: uncultured bacterium
Lineage: Bacteria
Description: SSU rRNA
Rfam family: Bacterial small subunit ribosomal RNA
Source: RNAcentral